This 376-nucleotide RNase P RNA is filed under the name Bacillota bacterium. RNAcentral describes it as "Firmicutes bacterium RNase P RNA component class A". It matches the Rfam family "Bacterial RNase P class A". Rfam says of the family: Ribonuclease P (RNase P) is a ubiquitous endoribonuclease, found in archaea, bacteria and eukarya as well as chloroplasts and mitochondria. The record is from RNAcentral. Lineage: Bacteria; Bacillati; Bacillota.
CGAGCCAGCCGGGUGAUCGCGGGCGCAAAGCCGCGAGGCUGCGUCCGAGGAAAGUCCGGGCUGCACAGGGCACGGUGCUGGGUAACGCCCAGCGGGGGCGACCCCCGGGAAAGUGCCACAGAAACAUACCGCCGGCGGUGCGUGUCGCGCUCUCGCGCCGCGCGCUUGCCGGUAAGGGUGAAACGGUGCGGUAAGAGCGCACCAGCGGCCAGGCGACUGGCCGGCUAGGCAAACCCCACCGGCAGCAAGGCCAAGUAGGAGGGCAAUGAGGUGGCCCGCCGAGCCCUCGGGUUGGCCGCUGGAGGCCCCGGGCAACCGGGCGCCCUAGAUAGAUGAUCACCCUCGACAGAACCCGGCUUACAGGCUGGCUCACCGC